RNAcentral lists this ribosomal RNA (495 nucleotides) under uncultured bacterium. RNAcentral's name for it is "partial 16S ribosomal RNA". It matches the Rfam family "Bacterial small subunit ribosomal RNA", at positions 28 to 505 of the family's 1533-position model. The record is from RNAcentral.
GAUGAACGCUGGCGGCGUGCCUAAUACAUGCAAGUCGAGCGAACAGAUAAGGAGCUUGCUCCUUUGACGUUAGCGGCGGACGGGUGAGUAACACGUGGGUAACCUACCUAUAAGACUGGGAUAACUUCGGGAAACCGGAGCUAAUACCGGAUAAUAUUUCGAACCGCAUGGUUCGAUAGUGAAAGAUGGUUUUGCUAUCACUUAUAGAUGGACCCGCGCCGUAUUAGCUAGUUGGUAAGGUAACGGCUUACCAAGGCGACGAUACGUAGCCGACCUGAGAGGGUGACCGGCCACACUGGAACUGAGACACGGUCCAGACUCCUACGGGAGGCAGCAGUAGGGAAUCUUCCGCAAUGGGCGAAAGCCUGACGGAGCAACGCCGCGUGAGUGAUGAAGGUCUUCGGAUCGUAAAACUCUGUUAUUAGGGAAGAACAUACGUGUAAGUAACUGUGCACGUCUUGACGGUACCUAAUCAGAAAGCCACGGCUAACUACG